This 568-nucleotide long non-coding RNA is filed under the name Helianthus annuus (common sunflower). RNAcentral describes it as "hypothetical non coding rna". The record is from RNAcentral. Lineage: Eukaryota; Viridiplantae; Streptophyta; Magnoliopsida; Asterales; Asteraceae.
AAAUAUUACUUCAUAUUGUUAUAUAUUAUAUUAAACUUCAUCACUUGCUCAAACCUCCUUCACUUGGGCAUCCUUAGUCACACUCGCGCCUCCAACAUCUUUCUUCACAUCGUCAAGUUGAAAAGCAGACACUGGAAAAGAUCUGUAAAGGCCAGAAGUGGCCUUAAAGUUGAUCUUUCCAGUGGGCGGGUUAUCAAGAGUGAUCUCACUCAGUGUGAUCCACAUCAAAAGCUCCUUAGACUUAACACCCGUGAGUUUCUUGAUCUUAAACUUCUCUAUAUAUGCGGUUACCUCCGUUCCAUACGUUGUAAGCUUCCCGAUCUUUUCAAACUUGUGUUUCUUCUCUUUCUUUUGUAUAAGCCACACAAAACCGGUGUCUUUGACAUACCCACAUUCCACAAUGUCCUCUAAAGGCAAAAGACCAUUGGGUAGUCCCAUUUCGGUUAGUAAUUCCUUUGAUUUUUCUUGACAAAUUGCAUCACCAUGAUAAAUUUCUGAUGCACUUUCCCUAAUUGCUUUUGUCACAAGAGACAUUUUUGGUUUGAUUUGAAUGUGGAUAUUUUCAUGA